RNAcentral lists this ribosomal RNA (460 nucleotides) under uncultured bacterium. RNAcentral's name for it is "partial 16S ribosomal RNA". It matches the Rfam family "Bacterial small subunit ribosomal RNA", at positions 338 to 795 of the family's 1533-position model. The record is from RNAcentral.
CCUACGGGAGGCAGCAGUGAGGAAUAUUGGUCAAUGGGCGCGAGCCUGAACCAGCCAAGUAGCGUGAAGGAUGACUGCCCUACGGGUUGUAAACUUCUUUUAUCAAGGAAUAAAGUGAGGCACGUGUGCCUUUUUGCAUGUACUUUAUGAAUAAGGAUCGGCUAACUCCGUGCCAGCAGCCGCGGUAAUACGGAGGAUCCGAGCGUUAUCCGGAUUUAUUGGGUUUAAAGGGAGCGUAGAUGGGUUGUUAAGUCAGUUGUUAAAGUUUGCGGCUCAACCGUAAAAUUGCAAUUGAUACUGGCAGUCUUGAGUACAGUUGAGGUAUGCGGAAUUCGUGGUGUAGCGGUGAAAUGCUUAGAUAUCACGAAGAACCCCGAUUGCGAAGGCAGCUUACUAAACUGCGACUGACAUUGAUGCUCGAAAGUGUGGGUAUCGAACAGGAUUAGAUACCCCAGUAGUC